AGCAUCUCACAAACCUUGUGUUUUCGAACAUGGGCAAGUGGAUCUGGAUGCUUUGCGUUUUCGCAAGCAUCUGAAAAUGAUUGUAUGUGCACCAAUUGGUAUUGCCACUUGGGUUCCAACGUGCAACAGAUUUAUCUAUUUCGCGGAGGUAACCUUACUGACUGCCAGCCGGAGCGCAUGCUCACAAGCGAACACGGUGGUUGCAUCAUUUUGAUGUCGGCUUCCGAUA
This 229-nucleotide unclassified non-coding RNA is filed under the name uncultured Spizellomyces. Its description in RNAcentral is "sequence contains ITS2". Lineage: Eukaryota; Fungi; Chytridiomycota. The record is from RNAcentral.